GGGGUUGUGGCUCAGAGGUAAAGUGAUCACCUAGCAUGCGAGAGGUACUGGGUUCAAUCCUCAGCACCACA
RNAcentral lists this transfer RNA (71 nucleotides) under Marmota monax (woodchuck). RNAcentral describes it as "tRNA.Ala". The record is from RNAcentral. Lineage: Eukaryota; Metazoa; Chordata; Mammalia; Rodentia; Sciuridae.